RNAcentral lists this ribosomal RNA (495 nucleotides) under uncultured bacterium. RNAcentral's name for it is "bacterial SSU rRNA". It matches the Rfam family "Bacterial small subunit ribosomal RNA", at positions 28 to 484 of the family's 1533-position model. The record is from RNAcentral.
GACGAACGCUGGCGGCGUGCCUAAUACAUGCAAGUCGAACGCACUCUCGUUAGAUUGAAGAAGCUUGCUUCUGAUUGAUAACAUUUGAGUGAGUGGCGGACGGGUGAGUAACACGUGGGUAACCUGCCCUAAAGUGGGGGAUAACAUUUGGAAACAGAUGCUAAUACCGCAUAAAACCUAGCACCGCAUGGUGCAAGGUUGAAAGAUGGUUUCGGCUAUCACUUUAGGAUGGACCCGCGGUGCAUUAGUUAGUUGGUGAGGUAAAGGCUCACCAAGACCGUGAUGCAUAGCCGACCUGAGAGGGUAAUCGGCCACACUGGGACUGAGACACGGCCCAGACUCCUACGGGAGGCAGCAGUAGGGAAUCUUCCACAAUGGACGAAAGUCUGAUGGAGCAACGCCGCGUGAGUGAAGAAGGUUUUCGGAUCGUAAAACUCUGUUGUUGGAGAAGAACGUAUUUGAUAGUAACUGAUCAGGUAGUGACGGUAUCCAACC